CCAAACUGUUGCCUCGGCGGGAUCUCUGCCCCGGGUGCGUCGCAGCCCCGGACCAAGGCGCCCGCCGGAGGACCAACCAAAACUCUUUUUGUAUACCCCCUCGCGGGUUUUUUAUAAUCUGAGCCUUCUCGGCGCCUCUCGUAGGCGUUUCGAAAAUGAAUCAAAACUUUCAACAACGGAUCUCUUGGUUCUGGCAUCGAUGAAGAACGCAGCGAAAUGCGAUAAGUAAUGUGAAUUGCAGAAUUCAGUGAAUCAUCGAAUCUUUGAACGCACAUUGCGCCCGCCAGUAUUCUGGCGGGCAUGCCUGUCCGAGCGUCAUUUCAACCCUCGAACCCCUCCGGGGGGUCGGCGUUGGGGAUCGGCCCUGCCUCUUGGCGGUGGCCGUCUCCGAAAUACAGUGGCGGUCUCGCCGCAGCCUCUCCUGCGCAGUAGUUUGCACACUCGCAUCGGGAGCGCGGCGCGUCCACAGCCGUUAAACACCCAACUUCUGAAAUGUUGACCUCGGAUCAGGUAGGAAUACCCGCUGAACUUAAGCAUAUCAAAGCCCGGAGGAAA
This 555-nucleotide ribosomal RNA is filed under the name Trichoderma harzianum. RNAcentral's name for it is "eukaryotic LSU rRNA". The stretch from base 165 to 318 matches the Rfam family "5.8S ribosomal RNA". Lineage: Eukaryota; Fungi; Ascomycota; Sordariomycetes; Hypocreales; Hypocreaceae. The record is from RNAcentral.